Molecule: ribosomal RNA, 902 nt
Filed under: uncultured bacterium
Lineage: Bacteria
Description: bacterial SSU rRNA
Rfam family: Bacterial small subunit ribosomal RNA
Source: RNAcentral
CACAUGCAAGUCGAGGGGAAACGACAUCGAAAGCUUGCUUUUGAUGGGUGUCGACCGGCGCACGGGUGAGUAACGCGUAUCCAACCUGCCCACCACAUGGGGAUAACCUUGCGAAAGUAAGACUAAUACCCAAUGAUAUCUCUAGAAGACAUCUGAAAGAGAUUAAAGAUUUAUCGGUGAUGGAUGGGGAUGCGUCUGAUUAGCUUGUUGGCGGGGUAACGGCCCACCAAGGCGACGAUCAGUAGGGGUUCUGAGAGGAAGGUCCCCCACAUUGGAACUGAGACACGGUCCAAACUCCUACGGGAGGCAGCAGUGAGGAGUAUUGGUCAAUGGACGAGAGUCUGAACCAGCCAAGUAGCGUACAGGAUGACGGCCCUAUGGGUUGUAAACUGCUUUUAUAAGGGAAUAAAGUGAGUCUCGUGAGACUUUUUGCAUGUACCUUAUGAAUAAGGACCGGCUAAUUCCGUGCCAGCAGCCGCGGUAAUACGGAAGGUCCGGGCGUUAUCCGGAUUUAUUGGGUUUAAAGGGAGCGUAGGCCGGAGAUUAAGCGUGUUGUGAAAUGUAGACGCUCAACGUCUGCACUGCAGCGCGAACUGGUUUCCUUGAGUACGCACAAAGUGGGCGGAAUUCGUGGUGUAGCGGUGAAAUGCUUAGAUAUCACGAAGAACUCCGAUUGCGAAGGCAGCUCACUGGAGCGCAACUGACGCUGAAGCUCGAAAGUGCGGGUAUCGAACAGGAUUAGAUACCCUGGUAGUCCGCACGGUAAACGAUGGAUGCCCGCUGUUGGUCUGAAUAGGUCAGCGGCCAAGCGAAAGCAUUAAGCAUCCCACCUGGGGAGUACGCCGGCAACGGUGAAACUCAAAGGAAUUGACGGGGGCCCGCACAAGCGGAGGAACAUGUGG